UGACGGUGAAGUUCCCCUCUACCUCUCUGUGUUGCCCGCUAACACCCGCAAUCAGGAGUAGGUUCUGUACUUCAUUGUUCAGUACGCCAGCAUCCAGUUCCGCCCCUCCAGUGCUGCCCCCAGGUCAAGUGCACCAUCAGUACAGGAAGACGGUGUUCUCUACAGCACAGUUCGAUAUCAGGAAACAUGAAAACAAGGCAUCCAGAUCUCUUUUGUCACAAGCUGCAGACCAAUACUGCUUAUGCAGUAUGCAUCUGGACUUCUGAAUGUGAGAUCAUGUUCAGUGUUUGUGCUUCCCUUCUAAACAGCAAAUACUAUGUCAGGAAAACAAUCCUCAAGCAGAAACUUCAUUUGCAAGGCAUGAAUCAAACAUUUCCUUCAUUGGAUGAUUCAUUUAAGAGUAUUUACUAAAACCAGUGAAUAUAAGAUUUAAAGGCGGACAUGCAGGUGACUCAGGUCUGAAUAAGGAGAGGUAUUAUCCUUCAUAAGGGAGAUGGAUAAGGGAACAAUCUGCUCUAGUCCUCACAUUGAAGACGAGACUCUAGGACUCUUUCAGUUACUUCAUCCCCUAUACCUCCAAUGUGCAAACUCUCCUCAUGAACUCAGGUCACAUGACUGUGCCUUUGUCACAUGACCAAGAUGACUGUGGUAUUGGGUCUGCAAAGAUGUACUCAGAAUGGAUCAUUCCUUUGGCAUUCUAUCAACAUUUACAUGCAUAACAGCUCAUGUCUUCAUAUUGUACACAAAGUAUUAUCAAGAUGUUGGUGCCUGAAAGCCAUUAUCAUUGCUGAAUGUAUUUGUUGGCCAAAUGUACUGGAGAAAUGGGCUUUAUAUGUAAUUCAAAGAUUAUUAUUAUUUUUAUUAAUACUUGUAUAACAUUUACUAUUAGACAUUCUUGUGCACAUUUUGUGAUUAUAUUGUGCUUAUUACUGAGCUGAUACCAUCUAGAGUAUAAAUUCACAUAACGUGAAUUUGUUUUUCACAUUCUUAGUGUUUAUUUUUGUACUACCAAACGUUAGAAUUCAGAGCAUACCUUGAAUUUUUUAAACAAUCAUUCAAUGAAACAAACAAAAUAAACCUAUGCUUGAAGAA
Anguilla anguilla (European eel) is the source of this 1092-nucleotide long non-coding RNA. RefSeq lists it as uncharacterized. The record is from RefSeq and is a predicted model, not a curated record. Lineage: Eukaryota; Metazoa; Chordata; Actinopteri; Anguilliformes; Anguillidae. The transcript is spliced from 2 exons.